This is a long non-coding RNA of Oreochromis niloticus (Nile tilapia), 3038 nucleotides long. RefSeq lists it as uncharacterized. The transcript is spliced from 2 exons. Lineage: Eukaryota; Metazoa; Chordata; Actinopteri; Cichliformes; Cichlidae. The record is from RefSeq and is a predicted model, not a curated record.
UAAAAGUAAGUGAAAUUGCCAGUUUCAGUGUAAUUCAGACUAAAGUCCAGCUGCAGAUAAGGAAUACCACUAAGUCAACAGUGUCUGAGUGAGUACUUCUCUGGUUAAAGUCCCUGUUUUCUUUCACCGUAUGUUUGUUUGUUUUUUUAGAUUUGGAGUCUGUGGUUGGGUAGAUUUAAGAUGAGUCAUUGUUUUUCUAUCCAUGGUAGCUUCCACUACUGAGGCUCAGGAAAAAUGAAGAGGAUAAUUAAGAGGAACCAUCAGUUCUGUCUCAUCUAACUACACAGUAUUUAUAAUCAUGCACUUAUGUCUCAAACUAAGACAAAAUGAGACAAAAUUAGUUAUGUGAGUCUUUAGAUUAUCAGUAAAUUCUGGUGAUAGUUUGACGCUCAGUGGAGCCAUUUUUGGUUUGUGAUGAGUGUUUUGUGAUGCUCAGCUUCUGUUUUGUGAAUUGCUCUUUCUAAUUUAGAAGAUCCUGCAGAAAUGUGCGCGCCCUUAUCUGAGAGGACAUGGAGAGAGUGUCGCAAACUCGAGGUGAGAAGAUAAACCUCGGAGCUGGAUGGCCUGCGCGUCACCUAUGUGCAUCUCUCUUUUCAAUGACAUCAAGUGAACCCAUAAUAAGCAUUUCUAUGUCUUAGACAUCAGAUCCAUUUCUAAUGAGAGAUUAUUUUUUAAAUGAGGGAACCCUGGUCUAACAAAACGCUUACAACAGAGCUAAAGGUUCAUUACAUGUGAGACGGUGGGACUCUCUGAUAAGAACUGAAACACUGUGUAUAAACAGCUGAGACAAAACUAUAUAUAAACACUAAUUUAUUCCAUUUUAGUUUACAAUGAUUUUUAAAGUAAUGUGGAAUGAUUCAUGUUCAUGAGCUGCUACAAACACAACUGUUUAUUUAUCUUUAUAUGGUUGGACUACAAGGCUUGUGUUGAGGGUCUUGGAAUAAAAAGUGGAAUAACAUCACCACAGCAAAACAAAUAAUGUUACUGUCUGCAGCUAAAAUAUAUAGUGAGCAUGGUUUUAUAAUAAUGCGCAAACACAACCUCACUCUGCUAUAUACGAGGAGCCAACCACAGCUGUCUUCAUCCACGACCUCCGCCAUCAUUUCUUUACUCAUCAUCAUUCACUUAAUUGCUUAGGUUGGUUUAAAUCAAACUCAGUUACAGGUUCAACUCCAUUAUAUAAAAGCAUGCUGACUUUGGAUUUGGUGUGCAGUGCCACCUUAAAAAAAUGAGGAAACUAAGAGAUUACAAAAAAAAGAAGUGGAAGAGUUAAUGAGCUACAGCAGAUUAACAGUUUCUGACAGUCAUGUAUUAAGAAAUAGGACGAUUAGAUGAGCUGAGGGAUCCAUCUACUGCUCAAUGAAGCCUCAACAGAAACAGUCUCAAUGGAAGGAUGGCUCUAUUCUUAAGGAAGGACACAGGGAGAAAGACUGGCGUAUGUCACAUUACACAGGAACUGGACUGAAAAUCAGUUGCAAAUAUUCAUCAGCAUGUGCAAACAUAUUAUAGGUAUGGAAUUCAGGAAAGUACCAUCAGAAGUUGAUCCACUAUGCAAAUGUCUGAUUGGCAGUGGCUUCAUUUUUCACUAUGACAAACAAACUGCUAAUGCAGUAUGCAGCAUCACAGGACUUCAGUCAUGGAUUAGCCUCCCCAGACCUCAACAUUACUGAAACAUCUUAACAGAGAAUGGAAAAAAAGGGAACCAACAUCCAAGAAAAGAACUGCUCCUGAAUACUUCCUCACAGAAAAUACAAAAAAGCUUGACUAAAAGACUUCAGGCUGUGCUGAAUAAUAAAGGUGGACUGACUUCCAGGGUCCUUAGUAUCAUAUAAGCUCAGUUUUUGUCUGUCUUUGUCUGUAUUUCCAUUUAUAUAACAAAAUAUAUAGAAACGAGGGUGGUUUAAGAUGUCUGUAGAGUUUUAGUCAUUAUCUUUAAACAAACAAAGAAAGUACCAUCCAAAACACUUUUCCAUAAGUAAACAUGUCUUGUGUUUCUGUUUAACUUCUGCUGUUUUCCUUUCAUGUGUCCACAGUUGACAGGUAACCCUACUGGAGCCACCAAUAGUAACCGGUGGCUUCUCAGUGUGUUGAUGGGCACAGCCAUUGUUACCACAGCUACUGGUGGGGACCUGGAGUUGGUAUACGCGGAGCUGUGAGAGGACAGAGAUGGCGAACGGACAUUUAACUAUUUAACAGGAGAUACGUUAUGACUAAUAGACGACUACUGUUUAAAUGAUGUCUUUGCAGCCCUUAUGGCACACGUUACACAACUUUUCUUCAUGCCAGCAAGACUGAGGUGCCCACAUAGUUGACACAUACAACUGAUUAUGAAUGCAUAUUUUACUAUUCCUAUUUUCACAUCAUCUCCUUGGCUUUAUUAGUGAAAGCCUGGAGAUACUCUGACUUGUGCAUGGCUGAUGUGAAGUAUGAUUAGUACUACAUGACUUACACCAUCAACAGAGGCAAUGAAAGCUUUGUUGUUAACAGGUUGGAUGGUAAAGUCAAAUUCCUAAUUCUACACUUGUGUUGGGUAAAGUUAUUCUCACUGCAGCAGAUUUAUAUCUGUGGUUUCACAGGGCGUGAUGUGGACCUCAGCGCUGAGGUGCAGUUCUCCUUGGAGACCGGCAUCCUGGCUGAAAAUAUUAUCAUGCUUCCAAAACAUGGCUGGGGUAUCUCAGUGACUUGGCUGACGUAAAGUAUGACGAGUUUGCCCUGAUUCAUUCCAUCAAGACAAAGUGGAAAGAAAGCUAUGUUGUUAACAAACUAUAUGGUAAUGUGGCAUUUAGCUCUGGUUCUACGCUCUGCUGAAUCCUUGUUAACCUGUUCUGCUGAUCAGGAAAGCUAUACGUGCUGCAGCAGAUUGACGUCAUCUGUUUUCACAGGGCGUGGCGUGCACCUCAGCGCUGAGGUGCAGGAGAAUUUCAUUCAGUUCUCCCUACAAACCAGCAUCCAGCCUGAAAAUAUUGUCAUCUUUCCCAAAAAUGGUACUCUUAUCUCAGAGAAGAAGUUUGAUGUAAAAUAACUGCAAUCAACAGUGA